GGGUGCGUGAUCUUUACUUUUAAGUUUGGAGAGGAUCUAAGAUGAUAAGACAUAACAGUGACUAUCCUCUAUUACAAUUAAAGCAUACCUAUAUUUUUGGCGAGGGUAGAACUAAAAGACCCCAGAAGAAUUGGAAAAAAUUACGCAAAAUCUUGCAUUCGGAAAGUUUCUUUCGAACCCUCUCUAAAUCUAAAGCGCAAGUUUUGUUUAAUUUAUUUUUUUAUAUUCUGGUCUCGGAGCAAAAUAUAUAGAUACAGUGUAAGACUUUAAGUAUUUACAUAUAGG
RNAcentral lists this long non-coding RNA (285 nucleotides) under Mytilus galloprovincialis (Mediterranean mussel). Lineage: Eukaryota; Metazoa; Mollusca; Bivalvia; Mytilida; Mytilidae. The record is from RNAcentral.